AUGUGUGUGUGUGUGUGUGUGUGUGUGUGCGCACAUAUAUAUAUAUAUAUAUAUAUAUGCGCGCACACACACACACACACACACAC
RNAcentral lists this microRNA precursor (86 nucleotides) under Pelobates cultripes (western spadefoot toad). The record is from RNAcentral. Lineage: Eukaryota; Metazoa; Chordata; Amphibia; Anura; Pelobatidae.